RNAcentral lists this long non-coding RNA (240 nucleotides) under Mytilus galloprovincialis (Mediterranean mussel). Lineage: Eukaryota; Metazoa; Mollusca; Bivalvia; Mytilida; Mytilidae. The record is from RNAcentral.
AAAAACAAUUCUUACAUAAUGUAUAUUUUUUAACAAUUUGCUGACUAAAUGAAUUGUUUUGAAGCAUUUUAUCUGAAUAAAAGCAGAUCAUAGAGUUAUUUCCACUUUUGAGGAUGGUAAAAUCUAAGAUGGGCAAAAUAGAGAUAUUUUGGGCAAAACCAACAUGGCUGAAACAAUAUGUCCAUAAAUAGGCUGCUCCCGGAAAAGUUAGCACGGUGACCUAUGUUUUUUUUGUAUUUU